This 467-nucleotide ribosomal RNA is filed under the name uncultured bacterium. Its description in RNAcentral is "partial 16S ribosomal RNA". It matches the Rfam family "Bacterial small subunit ribosomal RNA", at positions 28 to 507 of the family's 1533-position model. The record is from RNAcentral.
GACGAACGCUGGCGGCGUGCUUAACACAUGCAAGUCGAACGGAAAGGCCUCUUUCGGGGGGUACUCGAGUGGCGAACGGGUGAGUAACACGUGAGUAACCUGCCCUUGACUUUGGGAUAACUUCAGGAAACUGGGGCUAAUACCGGAUAGGAGCUCCUGCUGCAUGGUGGGGGUUGGAAAGUUUCGGCGGUUGGGGAUGGACUCGCGGCUUAUCAGCUUGUUGGUGGGGUAGUGGCUUACCAAGGCUUUGACGGGUAGCCGGCCUUAGAGGGUGACCGGCCACAUUGGGACUGAGAUACGGCCCAGACUCCUACGGGAGGCAGCAGUGGGGAAUAUUGCACAAUGGGUGGAAGCCUGAUGCAGCAACGCCGUGUGCAGGAUGACGGCCUUCGGGGUGUAAACCGCUUUCGCUCAUGACGAAGCUUUGUGUGACGGUAGUGGGUAAAGAAGCACCGGCUAACUACGUG